RNAcentral lists this ribosomal RNA (253 nucleotides) under uncultured bacterium. RNAcentral describes it as "partial 16S ribosomal RNA". It matches the Rfam family "Bacterial small subunit ribosomal RNA", at positions 524 to 776 of the family's 1533-position model. The record is from RNAcentral.
UACAGUGGUCCCAAGCGUUGUUCGGAUUCAUUGGGCGUAAAGGGUGCGUAGGUGGCGCCGUAAGUCGGGUGUGAAAUUUCGGAGCUUAACUCCGAAACUGCAUUCGAUACUGCGGUGCUUGAGGACUGGAGAGGAGACUGGAAUUCAUGGUGUAGCAGUGAAAUGCGUAGAGAUCAUGAGGAAGACCAGUGGCGAAGGCGGGUCUCUGGACAGUUCCUGACACUGAGGCACGAAGGCCAGGGGAGCAAACAGG